UACGUAGGGGGCUAGCGUUGUCCGGAUUUAUUGGGCGUAAAGAGCGUGUAGGCGGCCAGAUAGGUCUGCUGUGAAAACUCGAGGCUCAACCUCGAGAUGUCGGCGGAAACCAUUUGGCUAGAGUCCGGAAGAGGAAAGUGGAAUUCCUGGUGUAGCGGUGAAAUGCGUAGAUAUCUGGAGGAACACCGGUGGCGAAGGCGGCAUCCUGGACCGGUAUUGACGCUGAGGCGCGAAAGCCAGGGGAGCAAACGGG
RNAcentral lists this ribosomal RNA (253 nucleotides) under uncultured bacterium. Its description in RNAcentral is "partial 16S ribosomal RNA". It matches the Rfam family "Bacterial small subunit ribosomal RNA", at positions 524 to 776 of the family's 1533-position model. The record is from RNAcentral.